This 339-nucleotide unclassified non-coding RNA is filed under the name soil metagenome. RNAcentral describes it as "partial contains 5.8S ribosomal RNA, internal transcribed spacer 2, and large subunit ribosomal RNA". The stretch from base 1 to 120 matches the Rfam family "5.8S ribosomal RNA", at positions 35 to 154 of the family's 154-position model. The record is from RNAcentral.
GAUGAAGAUCGCAGUGAAAUGCGAUACGUAGUGUGAAUUGCAGAAUUCAGUGAAUCAUCGAAUCUUUGAACGCACAUUGCACCUCUCGGUAUUCCGGGAGGUAUGCCUGUUCGAGCGUCAUUUGUACCCUCAAGCUCUGCUUGGUGUUGGGUGUUUGUUCCGCCUCUGUGUGUGAACUCGCCUCAAAACAAUUGGCAGCCGGCGUACUUGUUUCGGAGCGCAGCACAUUUUGCGAUCCAGAUCAACGUACAGCGGCAUCCAAGAAGCCUUAUUUAACGCUCUUGACCUCGGAUCAGGUAGGGAUACCCGCUGAACUUAAGCAUAUCAAUAAGCGGAGGA